GAUGAAGACGCAGCGAAAUGCGAUAAGUAAUGUGAAUUGCAGAAUUCAGUGAAUCAUCGAAUCUUUGAACGCACAUUGCGCCCGCCAGUAUUCUGGCGGGCAUGCCUGUUCGAGCGUCAUUUCAACCAUCAAGCCCCCGGCUUGUGUUGGGGACCUGCGGCUGCCGCAGGCCCUGAAAACCAGUGGCGGGCUCGCUGUCACACCGAGCGUAGUAGAUUUUCAUCUCGCUCAGGGCGUGCUGCGGUUCCGGCCGUAAAAAGCCUUAUUUACCCAAGGUUGACCUCGGAUCAGGUAGGAAGACCCGCUGAACUUAAGCAUAUCAAUAAGCGGAGGA
Molecule: unclassified non-coding RNA, 334 nt
Filed under: soil metagenome
Description: partial contains 5.8S ribosomal RNA, internal transcribed spacer 2, and large subunit ribosomal RNA
Rfam family: 5.8S ribosomal RNA (bases 1-119)
Source: RNAcentral